CUGGCGGCGUGCUAUAAUGCAAGUCGAGCGGAAGUUUCAAAAGCUUGCUUUUGGAACUUCAGCGGCGGACGGGUGAGUAACACGUGGGCAACCUGCCUGUAAGACUGGGAUAACUUCGGGAAACCGGAGCUAAUACCGGAUAAUCCUUUCCUUCACAUGGAGGGAAGCUGAAAGACGGUUUCGGCUGUCACUUACAGAUGGGCCCGCGGCGCAUUAGCUAGUUGGUGGGGUAACGGCCCACCAAGGCGACGAUGCGUAGCCGACCUGAGAGGGUGAUCGGCCACACUGGGACUGAGACACGGCCCAGACUCCUACGGGAGGCAGCAGUAGGGAAUCUUCCGCAAUGGACGAAAGUCUGACGGAGCAACGCCGCGUGAGCGAAGAAGGCCUUCGGGUCGUAAAGCUCUGUUGUCAGGGAAGAACAAGUACCGGAGUAACUGCCGGUACCUUGACGGUACCUGACCAGAAAGCCACGGCUAACUACGUGCCAGCAGCCGCGGUAAUACGUAGGUGGCAAGCGUUGUCCGGAAUUAUUGGGCGUAAAGCGCGCGCAGGCGGCCUCUUAAGUCUGAUGUGAAAGCCCACGGCUCAACCGUGGAGGGUCAUUGGAAACUGGGGGGCUUGAGUGCAGAAGAGGAGAGCGGAAUUCCACGUGUAGCGGUGAAAUGCGUAGAGAUGUGGAGGAACACCAGUGGCGAAGGCGGCUCUCUGGUCUGUAACUGACGCUGAGGCGCGAAAGCGUGGGGAGCGAACAGGAUUAGAUACCCUGGUAGUCCA
Molecule: ribosomal RNA, 777 nt
Filed under: uncultured bacterium
Lineage: Bacteria
Description: bacterial SSU rRNA
Rfam family: Bacterial small subunit ribosomal RNA
Source: RNAcentral